UUUUAAGUAAUUAUGUCUCAUGCAAUAUUUAGGACAUAUUUAUGAUAAAA
Molecule: microRNA precursor, 50 nt
Filed under: Marmota monax (woodchuck)
Lineage: Eukaryota; Metazoa; Chordata; Mammalia; Rodentia; Sciuridae
Source: RNAcentral